This 458-nucleotide ribosomal RNA is filed under the name uncultured bacterium. RNAcentral's name for it is "partial 16S ribosomal RNA". It matches the Rfam family "Bacterial small subunit ribosomal RNA", at positions 338 to 795 of the family's 1533-position model. The record is from RNAcentral.
CCUACGGGUGGCAGCAGUGAGGAAUAUUGGUCAAUGGUCGGGAGACUGAACCAGCCAAGCCGCGUGAGGGAGGAAGGUACAGAGUAUCGUAAACCUCUUUUGUCAGGGAACAAAGGCGGGGACGUGUCCCCGGAUGAGUGUACCUGAAGAACAAGCAUCGGCUAACUCCGUGCCAGCAGCCGCGGUAAUACGGAGGAUGCGAGCGUUAUCCGGAUUUAUUGGGUUUAAAGGGUGCGCAGGCGGUCUGUUAAGUCAGCGGUCAAAGCCCGGGGCUCAACCCCGGCCCGCCGUUGAAACUGGCAGUCGCGAGUUGGAGAGAAGGAUGCGGAAUGCGCGGUGUAGCGGUGAAAUGCAUAGAUAUCGCGCAGAACUCCGAUUGCGAAGGCAGCAGGCCGGCUCCACACUGACGCUGAGGCACGAAAGCGUGGGUAUCGAACAGGAUUAGAUACCCUGUAGUC